Molecule: ribosomal RNA, 1221 nt
Filed under: Streptococcus sp. HMSC071H03
Lineage: Bacteria; Bacillati; Bacillota; Bacilli; Lactobacillales; Streptococcaceae
Description: bacterial SSU rRNA
Rfam family: Bacterial small subunit ribosomal RNA
Source: RNAcentral
AUGAGAGUUUGAUCCUGGCUCAGGACGAACGCUGGCGGCGUGCCUAAUACAUGCAAGUAGGACGCACAGUUUAUACCGUAGCUUGCUACACCAUAGACUGUGAGUUGCGAACGGGUGAGUAACGCGUAGGUAACCUGCCUAUUAGAGGGGGAUAACUAUUGGAAACGAUAGCUAAUACCGCAUAACAGUAUGUAACACAUGUUAGAUGCUUGAAAGAUGCAAUUGCAUCGCUAGUAGAUGGACCUGCGUUGUAUUAGCUAGUAGGUAGGGUAAAGGCCUACCUAGGCAACGAUACAUAGCCGACCUGAGAGGGUGAUCGGCCACACUGGGACUGAGACACGGCCCAGACUCCUACGGGAGGCAGCAGUAGGGAAUCUUCGGCAAUGGGGGGAACCCUGACCGAGCAACGCCGCGUGAGUGAAGAAGGUUUUCGGAUCGUAAAGCUCUGUUGUUAAGGAAGAACGAGUGUGAGAAUGGAAAGUUCAUACUGUGACGGUACUUAACCAGAAAGGGACGGCUAACUACGUGCCAGCAGCCGCGGUAAUACGUAGGUCCCGAGCGUUGUCCGGAUUUAUUGGGCGUAAAGCGAGCGCAGGCGGUUAGAAAAGUCUGAAGUGAAAGGCAGUGGCUCAACCAUUGUAGGCUUUGGAAACUGUUUAACUUGAGUGCAGAAGGGGAGAGUGGAAUUCCAUGUGUAGCGGUGAAAUGCGUAGAUAUAUGGAGGAACACCGGUGGCGAAAGCGGCUCUCUGGUCUGUAACUGACGCUGAGGCUCGAAAGCGUGGGGAGCGAACAGGAUUAGAUACCCUGGUAGUCCACGCCGUAAACGAUGAGUGCUAGGUGUUAGGUCCUUUCCGGGACUUAGUGCCGUAGCUAACGCAUUAAGCACUCCGCCUGGGGAGUACGACCGCAAGGUUGAAACUCAAAGGAAUUGACGGGGGCCCGCACAAGCGGUGGAGCAUGUGGUUUAAUUCGAAGCAACGCGAAGAACCUUACCAGGUCUUGACAUCCCGAUGCUAUUUCUAGAGAUAGGAAGUUUCUUCGGAACAUCGGUGACAGGUGGUGCAUGGUUGUCGUCAGCUCGUGUCGUGAGAUGUUGGGUUAAGUCCCGCAACGAGCGCAACCCUUAUUGUUAGUUGCCAUCAUUGAGUUGGGCACUCUAGCGAGACUGCCGGUAAUAAACCGGAGGAAGGUGGGGAUGACGUCAAAUCAUCAUGCCCCU